CUGUAGUUUGUUUCUAAAGAUCCUUCGAAAAGCACCCUCCAUAACCUAGCAUGGCGGAAAACAAUGCUAGAAUGAAGGUUAUCCUUGAGGUUAAAACAGACCUCACAGGCACUCUCAACGCGGCUGCCGAAGGAAAUGCCCUACACACAACCCCCAGUACUCUGAUAGGCGUAGAAGCCUUACCCUCCUCAUCAGAAGACCUGGUGGUGCCACGAGAAAGAGAAGCUUCAACAUCUACCACUAAGGAAGCACCCCCAGAAUAGGCGUAGAAGCCUUACCCUCCUCAUCAGAAGACCUGGUGGUGCCACGAGAAAGAGAAGCUUCAACAUCUACUACUAAG
This 340-nucleotide long non-coding RNA is filed under the name Nicotiana benthamiana. Its description in RNAcentral is "long non-coding RNA (NBEN_LNC021588)". The record is from RNAcentral. Lineage: Eukaryota; Viridiplantae; Streptophyta; Magnoliopsida; Solanales; Solanaceae.